RNAcentral lists this transfer RNA (69 nucleotides) under Bokermannohyla alvarengai (Santa Barbara treefrog). RNAcentral describes it as "tRNA-Thr". It matches the Rfam family "tRNA". From Rfam's summary of the family: Transfer RNA (tRNA) molecules are approximately 80 nucleotides in length. Their secondary structure includes four short double-helical elements and three loops (D, anti-codon, and T loops). Lineage: Eukaryota; Metazoa; Chordata; Amphibia; Anura; Hylidae. The record is from RNAcentral.
GCUUCAGUAGCUUAAUAAAGCAUUGGUCUUGUAAACCAAAGAAUGAAGAUGAAAGCUCUUCCUAAAGCU